GAUGAAGAACGCAGCGAAACGCGAUAGUUAAUGUGAAUUGCAGAAUUCAGUGAAUCAUCGAGUCUUUGAACGCACAUUGCGCCCAUCGGUAUUCCUUUGGGCAUGUCUGUUUGAGCGUCAUUACAACCCUCAGCUAACGCUGGUUAUGAAUCUGAACGGGUGAAACCGCGCAGGUUUUAAAGUUGUAAGCUCUGCUGGCCGCUCCGCCUAACCAGAACAUAGUAAAACACUACUUGUUAGGGUGAUGCUCAACGGUACGGCCUGAACAAAACCUACCCAUUUCUAAGGUUUGACCUCAGAUCAGACAAGGAUACCCGCUGAACUUAAGCAUAUCAAUAAGCGGAGGA
This 347-nucleotide unclassified non-coding RNA is filed under the name soil metagenome. Its description in RNAcentral is "partial contains 5.8S ribosomal RNA, internal transcribed spacer 2, and large subunit ribosomal RNA". The stretch from base 1 to 120 matches the Rfam family "5.8S ribosomal RNA", at positions 35 to 154 of the family's 154-position model. The record is from RNAcentral.